AAGAAUAGGGAGUUUGGCUUCUCAUAAUAAAACCUUACUAAAGUUAUCACUCAUAGUAGCUACUUGAUUGAAAAUCCUAAGGAAAUAAUCACUGACACCUUCAAUGUCAAGAAGGUUCUCAGAAAUCUUCAAGUACUAGGUUCUUCCCACCAUUGAUGAUCGAAGAGGGCUAUGGUAGUGACUAAAUGCAGUCGUUGCUAAUCAUGAGGGACUUUGAUGUUGUGUUGAAAGGUGAAGACAUAUAUAAUGGUAGUCAUUUGGCUGAUGCAGAAGUCAAAGAUUUUGAAGAAUUCCUAUUGAGCAUAUGGGUCACUAAGAUGAAAUUCGUUGGCAGAU
Molecule: unclassified non-coding RNA, 336 nt
Filed under: Hevea brasiliensis (rubber tree)
Lineage: Eukaryota; Viridiplantae; Streptophyta; Magnoliopsida; Malpighiales; Euphorbiaceae
Source: RNAcentral